Molecule: long non-coding RNA, 1268 nt
Organism: Herpailurus yagouaroundi (jaguarundi)
Lineage: Eukaryota; Metazoa; Chordata; Mammalia; Carnivora; Felidae
Exons: 4
Source: RefSeq, a predicted model, not a curated record
CAGUGAUAGAAUGGUACUUGCAGAAAUGAACUACUAUGUAUCUGACGGACAGACAGAUGAGAAAUGAACAUGGAAACAGCAAGACUGGUCCAAAAACUGUGCCACCACAUGAGAGGUGACAAAGGGCCUAAACCAGGGCUGUCGCCAUGGAAAUGGAGAAGAGUGUGGUCAACCUGAGGCUACGUAACAGCUGGAACCCCUUACCUGCUCACUCUGUGCCAGAUACGGUCUUCCAGUUUUACCUGGAUUAUUUUGUUUAAUCCUCAUUACAAGCCAAUGGGAGUUAUAUUAUUAUUACCGUAUUCUACAGAUAAGGAGAUUGAGGUUGGAUGACAAUCACUGGAAAAACCCUGCGCUCUCUAUCUUUUCCUAGCGUAGUCAUUGAGAUAGCUUCUCUCCAAGAGGGCCACCCACUGUCAUUCAUUUCCCCCGACUCUAAUUGUCAUUUCCCAUCGAGGUAGAGUCUCUUCAUCCAGCCCUUUCACUCCAGGCUGUGCUACGACUCCUUCAGUCACAGAAUGUUGUGUGUACCAUACUGCCUUUGCAGUCAUCGUCAGUCAAAAAACAUAGGAAAGACUACCAGUGAGAACCACCUUGCCAAGCUCGCUCAACACGAGAAUCAUGAGAGAUGGUGACAAUGCCUGCUAAGUGUUCUGCUGUGGACAAGGCAUUGCAUGGUUAACCUGCGUUUAGGAAGUAUAAACAACCGGGACAACCCAAACUCAAACCCAGGUGUAUCUGUGCUUUGAGCCCCAAGGAAAUCCAUCAUAAGACAGGUUGAUAUGUCGUGUCAGAGACGUGGGAAGUGGUAGUGCUGGGUUCAAAUCCAUGUUUUUAACCACUGUGCCAUACCUUGUACCACUCGGAGGAUAUUGGCAAAGAUGGGGAUCCCUAGUCACCUAGGAGCAGCUAAGAGAUUGCACUAGUCCAACCUCUUCAUUUCACAGACCCAUGAGAUCCCAGUGUUCUCAACCCUGGCUGCCCUGUGGAGUCAUCUGGAGAAGAUUUCAAACAAAACACGACGAAAGCUCAACCAGAUCAAGAGAUUUUUACCGAAUUUACAGGUCCACAGCGGCUCUCAUUUCUAACUCCUCGACCUUGGAUCCAAACCUUCGGCAUCUCAGUAAAUGGCACAACCAAGUUGCUCGGGCCAGAAACUGGCCAGUUUGAAUACUCAAGCCAGUAUUUAUCCUCGAUUCCUCUUUCCCUUCCAUCUACAACCAAACCACCGACUUAUGUCAGGCACUGGGUAAGUGUUUGUUCAAUGA